RNAcentral lists this unclassified non-coding RNA (580 nucleotides) under Hevea brasiliensis (rubber tree). Lineage: Eukaryota; Viridiplantae; Streptophyta; Magnoliopsida; Malpighiales; Euphorbiaceae. The record is from RNAcentral.
CAGUACCUGAGGACUUGUGCACUGCACAAAUAUCACUAGAUGUGUUUCUCUCCAAAAACAUCAGCAGUUCCUUAUCAUCAACUGCUUUUGUAUUUGAAUGAAAUAUGUCAACAGCCAAGAUUCUCUUCUUAAGCUCCAAAUGUUUAACAAUUGCACCAGCUCCAAGGAGCGCAACUGAGGCCGAUGCAGCCGAUCCACCACUAAAUAGGCCUUUUUCCAAGCAUUCAUUCUGCAACAACUUGCUUUCAUAUUCUAGUGCACCAUUCACUUGACCUAAAACACUCUCCAUAUCACUGGAUGAAGCAUAUAACAGAACCUCAUUCUUACCAACAUUAACUUGAAUGCCAAUCCUUUCAUCCAUAUACUUAGUUCUAAUGCGUGAAACAAGGUUAUUGACACUAUUGUUAGAUUUUCCACAGAAUCUUUUCAAUAGCAUGCUCCCAAAACCUGUCAAAACUUUCUUUUCCAGCUUUUGGGCAUCCAUCUCCAGAAAAUUAAACAACGGGGAAGGACUAAGAGCAGAAAGAGAACUAAACUCAAAUGCAGUAACACAGACCAAAUACUCAUUAGCUGCAGAAAG